Ornithodoros turicata is the source of this 950-nucleotide long non-coding RNA. RefSeq lists it as uncharacterized. The transcript is spliced from 3 exons. The record is from RefSeq and is a predicted model, not a curated record. NCBI's taxonomy places the organism in Eukaryota, Metazoa, Arthropoda, Arachnida, Ixodida, Argasidae.
AGUCCUUAUCACAGUAAGUAUCACGAGGAUAAGACAGAUUACCAGUACAACAAAACCAUUAUUUUGAGUGACACAAUGGAGCGUCCCGAAGACCAAUGCUCACAACAACAGGGCAAUCUGAUUCUGGAACAGGAAGAAGAACAGCAGUCCUACAGUGGAGAGCCCUCCAUACAACCAGAAUGUUCCUGCAAUGGAGCAGCCCUUCCACCUGGGCCUGAAUUGCUCACUCUCUCACUAACUACUGGCCUGGCGCUCAUUAUACCAGAGAUACAUGUUUCACACCGGUUGUGAUUGAUGAUCCCGGCUCCAGUGUACAUGAGAAUGUGUUGUCUUCUUCGUUUUUCUCUUUUCCUUUUCUUUUUUUUUUCUUUUUUGUCAAGCGACUGGUUUGUCUGACUCUCUGCUGAACACUGCUUCGAAUUCCUCCGCACAACACAAGCUCAUUACUAUAGCCAUUAUAUCAAUACAAAGGGAUUGAAAUGCGAACAGUCUACUAAUUUGUACUACCUGUAUACAGGGUGUUUUCUAUUCAAUACAGACUGUUACUAUAAUGAGAGCUAUGGAGGAGGACAUAUCCUGUUUUUGCAGGUGGGUUAUACGGGCAGGCGGACAUUCUGUCGAAGACAGUAUGUACCGUCUUGAUUACCAAUUUCCUAAAAUUCAUUAUUUCACUUUUUAAUUAGAGUUUUUGGGAGAAUGAGAGAUAGCACAAUAUGAACCAGCUAUAAUUUAUAGCCUGAAAUGAGCACAUACUUUGAGAUAAGCAUCACUAAAUAUUACUAUGCAAGUGAACCCAAACCAAAACAAGCUGGUCGCGAGCGCAGCAAGGACAAAGCCCAUUUCACUUCGGAGUAUCACUUGCUUUGAUGUAACAGAGCUGAUUGGAGUAGCACUGAUCUGCUGAGCAACCUUGCGGCCCAAUCUGCCAAAUAAAACAACGAUGCUGCGCA